UUAAAGAGUUCUAUAACUCCCAAACCCAUGUGAACAUACCUAACGUUGCCUCGGCAGGUCGCACCUACCUUGUAGCACCCUACCCUGUAGGGCCUACCCGGGAGGUGCGGGUAAGCCUGCCGGCGGCCCACCAAACUCUGUUUGAUAUUGAAUUCUGAACCUAUAACUAAAUAAGUUAAAACUUUCAACAACGGAUCUCUUGGUUCUGGCAUCGAUGAAGAACGCAGCGAAAUGCGAUAAGUAAUGUGAAUUGCAGAAUUCAGUGAAUCAUCGAAUCUUUGAACGCAUAUUGCGCCCAUUAGUAUUCUAGUGGGCAGGACCGUUCGAGCGUCAUUUCAACCCUUAAGCCUUCGUUGCUUAGUGUUGGGAGCCUACGGCAACGUAGCUCCUCAAAGUUAGUGGCGGAGUUGGUUCACACUCUAGACGUAGUAAUUUUUUAUCUCGCCUAUUAGUUGGACUAAUCCCCUGCCGUAAAACCCCCAAUUUAUCAAGGUUGACCUCGAAUCGGUUCAGACAAACUCGCUAAAUUGAAGCAUCUUAGUCAGCGAAGGAAAAGAAACCAACAGGGAUUGCCCUAGUAACGGCGAGUGAAGCGGCAACAGCUCAAAUUUGAAAUCUGGCCCUCGGGUCCG
RNAcentral lists this ribosomal RNA (632 nucleotides) under fungal endophyte. RNAcentral describes it as "eukaryotic LSU rRNA". The stretch from base 180 to 333 matches the Rfam family "5.8S ribosomal RNA". The record is from RNAcentral. Lineage: Eukaryota; Fungi.